GGUCACAUGCCGUUACUUCCAGACUCCAAAGGUCAUCAUUUCACCUCCUCCCUUUUCUGACUCUCUCUCUCUCUAGGUUAGCCUGUCCAUCUCUCCUCUCUCUCACUCAGGUGCCCUCUCCCCCUCUCACUCAGGUGCCCUUUAGCCAUUCUCGUUAGAUCCGGCAAAUUUACAUCGUGGGAAGCGUAGAUCGGAGGUGGAGAUUCAAGGGGCGUACACGGAGGUGAUAUUAUCCCACUGUUCCCAUGGAUUUCUUCGAUGCUCUUCUGUUUUUCCAUCGCUAUGCGAACGGAUUUUUGGGGGUUUUCUCUAUGGAUUUUUUCGGCAGAGAUGUUGUGAGAUCCAGUUGUUGGUAGAGGAGCCGAUGCACGCGAAUAGGGAGAAACCCAAAUCAAGUAGGGAGGAAGAGGCCCCCUAUGAACGCAGGCGAGUCUCCAUUCCAUCAUCCUGGUACCAGGGCGCCGACGAUGCCAUGGCGAGUUGAGGGGACUUCAAGGAGUGCCGAUCUGCUUCCUAGUUGAAGAUGCUAGGGGGACAAGUCUGGAUAGUAGAGUAUGGCUCUCCACAUCCGGUUUGGCGUCCUGCUUAAGUAUGUUGUUUCACCUGUAGGCAACUUAUACUAAAUCGACAAGCAAUCUAUCUUAUCAUAGUUUAACAUUUUUGUUCUUCUAAUUUAGUAUUUUUGUGUUCCGAUGAUGAUAGGUAUUUCUAAUGAAUUCAAUUUACUUUGCUCUCUCACUUAUCCUAAGUUACUUUUUGAGUCCAUUAUAUCUUUUGAAACUAGCAAAUAGUAUCCUGGUAUUAAUUAAGCAAUUCCUCAUUUUUUUAGUUUUUGUUUUUCUGCUCAAUGACUUGAAUGCUUCUCUUCUGUUUUAAUAGGCACAUCCACUAUUUUUCAAUCUAUAGUGAUCUGUAGUGCACCACAAAACCCAGUAACGCCUAAUGCGUUAGCCUGCAUAAGUUAAAAGGAAUAAAUUUGUCAGGAAUGAUUUUUUGUUAGCUCUAUUAAGUCUGUAUUUGUAAUUGUUUGGCAAAAUUUCAACAUGUGUUUAGUCGUUACUAAAAAUUAUCAGGCAGCAUUAUGAACGGCUGUUUUUUAGUUCUUUUCCUCCAAAAUAUGGUUUUUGAUUGAUAUCAUUCCUUGCUUUUAUGACUGACUUUUAAUCCUUUUCAGUAAUUUAUAGCAUAACCAUGAGAUAUUUCUUUUGUGUGUUCUCUGUUAGUUUUGUUCCGAUGUUUCUCUCACCAAUACAUAGUUGAUGUUCAUAUCAUAGUUGUAAGUUAGGCAAAAUGAUAUAAUUCAUCAGGCAGUAAUAUGCUAUUAAAUUAGGUAAAUGAAUAUACUUUAGUAGGCAAUAAUAUGGUCGUGAAAUAUCAAUAAUACAUGUGUGUUCUACAUCGAUUCUAUGUUAUCAAUAAUACAACUUUGUGGUUGAGCUCGGCGAUGGGGGAGAAGCUGGACGAGCUACUGCGGCGCGAGGAUAACCGGGCUCUGCUCAAGGGUUUUGAGGACACUCGAGCACUGCGUGGACUGCGCUCACCGACAUCGAGCGCCAGGAGGCUGAAGCGCGCUUGGCCCGCAAGGAGGUUCACCGCCUUGAGAAGCGUCACGACGAGAUAUGUUGCUAUUCACGUGACACAUUUGCUAUCUAGCCUGCUCGAUGUUUUGCAAGUUCAGCUAUUCGACAUUUUGCCUGACGAAUCCUAUGCCGUGAUGGCUCGCUUACCGUAGAGCAACCUCUCCUUGUCCUGUCAUGGUGCUAUACAGACCCCCACAACCAAGUGUUGUAGCUCUGGUUAUAUACACGCCGCUAGUCAGUACUUUUCAAGUCAAUAAUAUUUUUGUCAAAUAGUAGAAGUAUUUUUAGUAGUAUUUCAUUGCUUUCCAGUAGGCAAAUACAUCAAAUGCUAGAAGCAUUUCAGUACUUUCUAGUAGGCAAAUACAUCAAAUAUUUGAAAUAAUUUCAGAACUAGGCAAUAAUAUUGGUAGAAAUUGGGCAAUAAUAUUGUUCUUGAUAGGCAAUAAUAUGGGUUACAAUAGGUAUUUUGUUCUGCAAAAGGUUACAUGCGACUUUUGCAUGCUUAGCUGCAGAAGUUGAUGAAUCAUCAUACGGCAACUAAUGUAGCAGAAAGUAUAGCAGUAUGGAUAGUUGUUGCGUAUGUAGGAGCAACUGCAUUAGCACAAAUUGUUGUGCUUGCGUCACAGCUGCAACAACAUAAUUAGAUGCUAAAUCAACAAGCAAAUUAUUCAAUCUAGUGUUAUGUCUAUCAUUGUCUAAAAUCUGACGUUCACAAUUCUCAUUUUGUGAUUGUACAUGUUCAUUAUGCAUUUUAUGUGUAUGUCUGGAAAGCAUUUUAUGUUAUAUUUAGAAGCAACAAUAUGAUCUGUGUUACGCAAUAUUAUGGUCCUUUGGGAUAAUAAUUUGCUUCUGGUUUAGGAAAUAAGGCGCUUCUAAAGCUAGCACAGUUUAUUUGAUCAUACAUAUGCUUUUUUUGUUGCCUCCAGAACUUUUUUAACAUGCAUUUUAGCACAUGCAUUUAACAUGCAUUUUUUUAGUCAUGUGCAGCGAAGCUAAAGUCAAGCAUAAGCAGGUGUAUCUAUUGGUUACAUGAUGAACAAUAUUAUUGUAUUAUUGUGAAUCUAUUUUAUUUGCUUGUAUAAUUAUUCUAAUUUGCUUUGGAUCAAUCUGUUUUAUUUGCUUGUACAUUUGUUUUAAAUUGCUUCGGAGUUUAUUAUGAUAUGCUUUCAACCUUUAACAAAA
Molecule: long non-coding RNA, 2762 nt
Organism: Panicum virgatum (switchgrass)
Lineage: Eukaryota; Viridiplantae; Streptophyta; Magnoliopsida; Poales; Poaceae
Exons: 3
Source: RefSeq, a predicted model, not a curated record